UGGCUCAGUGGGUAAGAGCACUGGCUCUUCUUACAGAGAACCUGGGUUCAAUUCCCAG
This 58-nucleotide transfer RNA is filed under the name Mesocricetus auratus (golden hamster). It matches the Rfam family "tRNA", at positions 8 to 63 of the family's 71-position model. From Rfam's summary of the family: Transfer RNA (tRNA) molecules are approximately 80 nucleotides in length. Their secondary structure includes four short double-helical elements and three loops (D, anti-codon, and T loops). Further hydrogen bonds mediate the characteristic L-shaped molecular structure. tRNAs have two regions of fundamental functional importance: the anti-codon, which is responsible for specific mRNA codon recognition, and the 3' end, to which the tRNAs corresponding amino acid is attached (by aminoacyl-tRNA synthetases). tRNAs cope with the degeneracy of the genetic code in two manners: having more than one tRNA (with a specific anti-codon) for a particular amino acid; and 'wobble' base-pairing, i.e. permitting non-standard base-pairing at the 3rd anti-codon position. Lineage: Eukaryota; Metazoa; Chordata; Mammalia; Rodentia; Cricetidae. The record is from Rfam by way of RNAcentral.